RNAcentral lists this ribosomal RNA (407 nucleotides) under Sphingomonas sp. RNAcentral describes it as "bacterial SSU rRNA". It matches the Rfam family "Bacterial small subunit ribosomal RNA", at positions 21 to 454 of the family's 1533-position model. Lineage: Bacteria; Pseudomonadati; Pseudomonadota; Alphaproteobacteria; Sphingomonadales; Sphingomonadaceae. The record is from RNAcentral.
GGCUCAGAACGAACGCUGGCGGCAUGCCUAACACAUGCAAGUCGAACGAAAUCCUUCGGGGUUUAGUGGCGCACGGGUGCGUAACGCGUGGGAAUCUGCCCUUGGGUUCGGGAUAACAGUUGGAAACGACUGCUAAUACCGGAUGAUGGCUUCGGCCCAAAGAUUUAUCGCCCAGGGAUGAGCCCGCGUAGGAUUAGCUAGUUGGUGGGGUAAAGGCCUACCAAGGCGACGAUCCUUAGCUGGUCUGAGAGGAUGAUCAGCCACACUGGGACUGAGACACGGCCCAGACUCCUACGGGAGGCAGCAGUGGGGAAUAUUGGACAAUGGGCGAAAGCCUGAUCCAGCAAUGCCGCGUGAGUGAUGAAGGCCUUAGGGUUGUAAAGCUCUUUUACCCGGGAAGAUAGUGA